Mauremys reevesii (Reeves's turtle) is the source of this 523-nucleotide long non-coding RNA. RefSeq lists it as uncharacterized. The record is from RefSeq and is a predicted model, not a curated record. Lineage: Eukaryota; Metazoa; Chordata; Testudines; Geoemydidae. The transcript is spliced from 3 exons.
CAAAGCUUGACCUUACAAUGCUGAGAAACUUUAAAGCUCUGUAGUAUUUUGGGUCACAUUGUUAGAUUGGACAAAGGAAUAAAGAAGAAAUGUGACAGUUUCCAGGGAAUUAAGGGGAAGAAACAAGGACACUGCUGGUACAAAAGAAAAUGUGUUAAGGGUUGAAGUGUUUCAAGUUAGUCUCAACAUGAAGGUGAAUUGUUUGGAAAUGAUGACAAGAGCCCAGCAUGUUUGGACUAGGAGGAAAGUAAUUUUGCUAUUAUAAAAAUAAUUCUUGCAACCAUAAAAAUCUUUUCAUUAUCCUUUCAACUGAGCAAUGAAUCAUAGACUCAUAGAAUAUCAGGGUUGGAAGGGACCUCAGGAGGUCAUCUAGUCCCACCCCCUGUAUCUAAUGAGAUAGACACUUAACUGGACAAUGCAUAACCCUCGGCAUUCAAUCUUCCCAGCCUGUAGCAGUCACACCAUUUAAGCAGAGAUGUCAGAUGGUAGAAGAACGAGCAUCCAAAUGAUUCUGGUUUUAUAA